AUACGAAGGGGGCUAGCGUUGUUCGGAAUUACUGGGCGUAAAGCGCAUGUAGGCGGACAUUUAAGUCAGGGGUGAAAUCCCGGGGCUCAAAAACCUCGGAACUGCCUUUGAUACUGGGUGUCUAGAGUGUGGAAGAGGUAAGUGGAAUUCCGAGUGUAGAGGUGAAAUUCGUAGAUAUUCGGAGGAACACCAGUGGCGAAGGCGGCUUACUGGUCCGUUACUGACGCUGAGGUGCGAAAGCGUGGGGAGC
RNAcentral lists this ribosomal RNA (250 nucleotides) under uncultured bacterium. RNAcentral's name for it is "partial 16S ribosomal RNA". It matches the Rfam family "Bacterial small subunit ribosomal RNA", at positions 523 to 769 of the family's 1533-position model. The record is from RNAcentral.